UUUUAAUGGGAUUGUACUAUAUAGGUUAUUUUGUAAAUUAUUUAAAAAAUAUUGACAAUGUACUUGAAAAUUUUUUUUAUAACAGAAUAUACAUGUAGCUCAUCCUAUCUAGUGAUUUUAUAGUACUCCAUGGUAUGAAUAUUUCAUUAUGCAUCAACUAUUAACCUAUUGUUGGAUAUUUAGGUUCAGUUCAGUUCAGUUCAGUUGCUCAGUUGUGUCCAACUCUUUGUGACCCCAUGAAUUGCAGCAUGCUAGGCCUCCCUGUUCAUCACCAACUCCCAGAGUUUACUCAAACUCAUGUCCAUUGAGUCGGUGAUGCCAUCCAACCAUCUCAUCCUCUGUCAUCCUCUUCUCCUCCCACCUUAAACCUUUCCCAGCAUCAGGGUCUUUUCAAAUGAGUCAGCUCUUUGCAUCAGGUGGCCUGUCAGGGAAUGUUUAAUUUUAAGGAAUCCUAUAUGUUGUUUUCUGUUUCUUAAGGGCCCUCUGUACCUUAUCAGUUCCUGGAAAACAGGAACCAGCAGAGGUGCCUGCAAUUCUCAGGACUGAGGUCAUGAGGCAGAAUGCAUACAUGGAUUCCUUUCAGUAACCUUUUACUUUCCUGUAAAACUACUUAUUCAUGUUCCUGUUUGCAAUACAUAGAUUGUCUUCUGGCCCUGUGAUGAUUGUUAUUCCCCUAGUUACUGUUGUUAUGUAUCUGGUUUCAGUGUUUUUUACUCAACUUUAUUUUUCUGCCUAAAGCUUCCUUGUAUAACAAUAUAUAAGCACACACUGCCAUGAAUAAAGUACCCUUGUUCCACUAGAGACUUGGGUCCCCCGCAUCCUUCUUUUCUUUGCCUUCUUUUCAUCGACUCCUGUCCCCAGGUCCUGGUCUAUCAAGAAGACCAUCAUAAGUGGCACCCGAACAGGGACCUGGAGUACGCCCUUGGCAAGUGGACGGAGUGACUGUGGACCUACUGAGGUUGGUAUUUUAGACAAAAGACUGGUGGAACCCAUCCUUAUUAUAAACAUGUCUCAGAGCAACUGCGAACUAGUGGUUGACUUUCUCUCUUACAAGCUUUUCCAGAAAGGAUACAGCAAUGCCAUCAAUGGCAACCCAUCCUGGCACCUGGAGGAUAGCCCUGCGGUGAAUGGAGCCCCUGGCCACAGCAGAAGCUUG
This 1156-nucleotide long non-coding RNA is filed under the name Bos indicus x Bos taurus (hybrid cattle). RNAcentral's name for it is "lncRNA (ENSBIXG00005009104.1)". Lineage: Eukaryota; Metazoa; Chordata; Mammalia; Artiodactyla; Bovidae. The record is from RNAcentral.